RNAcentral lists this ribosomal RNA (120 nucleotides) under uncultured bacterium. RNAcentral's name for it is "partial 16S ribosomal RNA". It matches the Rfam family "Bacterial small subunit ribosomal RNA", at positions 29 to 149 of the family's 1533-position model. The record is from RNAcentral.
AGCGAACGUUAGCGGCGCGCCUAACACAUGCAAGUCGGACGAGAAAGGCCUUCGGGCUGAGUAAAGUGGCGCACGGGUGCGUAACACGUAGGCAAUCUACCUUUAGGCGGGGGAUAACUA